UUACCGAGCGAGAAUUCUCUGAAUUCAACCUCCCACCCGUGUUUAUUGUACCUUGUUGCUUCGGCGGGCCCGCCUCACGGCCGCCGGGGGGCAUCUGCCCCCGGGCCCGCGCCCGCCGAAGACACCUUGAACUCUGUAUGAAAAUUGCAGUCUGAGUCUAAAUAUAAAUUAUUUAAAACUUUCAACAACGGAUCUCUUGGUUCCGGCAUCGAUGAAGAACGCAGCGAAAUGCGAUACGUAAUGUGAAUUGCAGAAUUCAGUGAAUCAUCGAGUCUUUGAACGCACAUUGCGCCCCCUGGUAUUCCGGGGGGCAUGCCUGUCCGAGCGUCAUUGCUGCCCUCAAGCCCGGCUUGUGUGUUGGGUCUCGUCCCCCUUCCCGGGGGGACGGGCCCGAAAGGCAGCGGCGGCACCGCGUCCGGUCCUCGAGCGUAUGGGGCUUUGUCACCCGCUCUGUAGGCCCGGCCGGCGCUUGCCGAUCAACCAAAACUUUUUUCCAGGUUGACCUCGGAUCAGGUAGGGAUACCCGCUGAACUUAAGCAUAUCAAUAAGCGGAGGAAAAGAAACCAACAGGGAUUGCCCCAGUAACGGCGAGUGAAGCGGCAAGAGCUCAAAUUUGAAAGCUGGCUCCUUCGGGGUCCGCAUUGUAAUUUGCAGAGGAUGCUUC
RNAcentral lists this ribosomal RNA (664 nucleotides) under fungal sp. RNAcentral's name for it is "eukaryotic LSU rRNA". The stretch from base 177 to 330 matches the Rfam family "5.8S ribosomal RNA". Lineage: Eukaryota; Fungi. The record is from RNAcentral.